Molecule: ribosomal RNA, 496 nt
Filed under: uncultured bacterium
Lineage: Bacteria
Description: partial 16S ribosomal RNA
Rfam family: Bacterial small subunit ribosomal RNA
Source: RNAcentral
GAUGAACGCUGGCGGCGUGCCUAAUACAUGCAAGUCGAGCGAACAGACGAGGAGUUGCUCCUUUGACGUUAGCGGCGGACGGGUGAGUAACACGUGGGUAACCUACCUAUAAGACUGGGAUAACUUCGGGAAACCGGAGCUAAUACCGGAUAAUAUUUCGAACCGCAUGGUUCGAUAGUGAAAGAUGGCUUUGCUAUCACUUAUAGAUGGACCUGCGCCGUAUUAGCUAGUUGGUAAGGUAACGGCUUACCAAGGCAACGAUACGUAGCCGACCUGAGAGGGUGAUCGGCCACACUGGAACUGAGACACGGUCCAGACUCCUACGGGAGGCAGCAGUAGGGAAUCUUCCGCAAUGGGCGAAAGCCUGACGGAGCAACGCCGCGUGAGUGAUGAAGGUCUUCGGAUCGUAAAACUCUGUUAUUAGGGAAGAACAAACGUGUAAGUAACUGUGCACGUCUUGACGGUACCUAAUCAGAAAGCCACGGCUAACUACGUG